UCCCUGGUGGUCCAGUGCUUACGACGUUGCGCUCUCAAUGCAAGGGGCCUGGGUUCAACCCCCGGUCAGGGAA
This is a non-coding RNA of Cervus elaphus (red deer), 73 nucleotides long. Lineage: Eukaryota; Metazoa; Chordata; Mammalia; Artiodactyla; Cervidae. The record is from the annotation of a RefSeq genome assembly.